This 270-nucleotide ribosomal RNA is filed under the name uncultured Leptolinea sp. Its description in RNAcentral is "partial 16S ribosomal RNA". It matches the Rfam family "Bacterial small subunit ribosomal RNA", at positions 1101 to 1382 of the family's 1533-position model. Lineage: Bacteria; Bacillati; Chloroflexota; Anaerolineae; Anaerolineales; Anaerolineaceae. The record is from RNAcentral.
AACCUCGCUGUGUGUUAUAUGUGUCACACGGGACUGCCGGGUCUUAAGCCGGAGGAAGGUGGGGGAUGAUGUCAAGUCAGCAUGGCCUUUAUAUCCUGGGCUACACACACGCUACAAUGGCCAACACAAUAGGUUGCUAAGCCGCGAGGUGGCGCCAAUCCAUAAAGUUGGUCUCAGUUCAGAUUGUAGGCUGCAACCCGCCUGCAUGAAGAUGGAGUUGCUAGUAACCGCAGGUCAGCUAUACUGCGGUGAAUACGUUCCCGGGGCCUU